This 433-nucleotide ribosomal RNA is filed under the name uncultured bacterium. RNAcentral's name for it is "partial 16S ribosomal RNA". It matches the Rfam family "Bacterial small subunit ribosomal RNA", at positions 29 to 507 of the family's 1533-position model. The record is from RNAcentral.
AACGAACGCUGGCGGCAUGCCUAACACAUGCCAGUCGAACGAGACCUUCGGGUCUAGUGGCGUACGGGUGCGUAACGCGUGGGAACCUGCCCUUAGGUUCGGAAUAACUCCCCGAAAGGGGUGCUAAUACCGGAUAAUGUCUUCGGACCAAAGAUUUAUCGCCUUUGGAUGGGCCCGCGUUGGAUUAGCUAGUUGGUAGGGUAAAAGCCUACCAAGGCGACGAUCCAUAGCUGGUCUGAGAGGAUGAUCAGCCACACUGGGACUGAGACACGGCCCAGACUCCUACGGGAGGCAGCAGUGGGGAAUAUUGGACCAUGGGCGAAAGCCUGAUCCAGCAAUGCCGCGUGAGUGAUGAAGGCCUUAGGGUUGUAAAGCUCUUUUACCCGGGAUGAUAAUGACAGUACCGGGAGAAUAAGCUCCGGCUAACUCCGUG